CCUACGGGAGGCAGCAGUGGGGGAUAUUGCACAAUGGGGGAAACCCUGAUGCAGCGACGCCGCGUGUGGGAAGACGGUCCUCUGGAUUGUAAACCACUGUCCCCAGGGACGAAGAUGACGGUACCUGGGGCGGAAGCUCCGGCUAACUACGUGCCAGCAGCCGCGGUAAUACGUAGGGAGCGAGCGUUGUCCGGAAUUACUGGGUGUAAAGGGAGCGUAGACGGGACUGCAAGUUGGGUGUCAAAUCUACCGGCUCAACCGGUAGCCGCACUCAAAACUGCAGUUCUUGAGUGAAGUAGAGGCAGGCGGAAUUCCUAGUGUAGCGGUGAAAUGCGUAGAUAUUAGGAGGAACACCAGUGGCGAAGGCGGCCUGCUGGGCUUUUACUGACGCUGAGGCUCGAAAGUGUGGGGAGCAAACAGGAUUAGAUACCCUUGUAGUC
RNAcentral lists this ribosomal RNA (440 nucleotides) under uncultured bacterium. Its description in RNAcentral is "partial 16S ribosomal RNA". It matches the Rfam family "Bacterial small subunit ribosomal RNA", at positions 338 to 795 of the family's 1533-position model. The record is from RNAcentral.